GAUGAACGCUGGCGGCGUGCCUAAUACAUGCAAGUCGAGCGAACAGACGAGGAGCUUGCUCCUUUGACGUUAGCGGCGGACGGGUGAGUAACACGUAGGUAACCUACCUAUAAGACUGGGAUAACUUCGGGAAACCGGAGCUAAUACCGGAUAAUAUUUCGAACCGCAUGGUUCGAUAGUGAAAGAUGGCUUUGCUAUCACUUAUAGAUGGACCUGCGCCGUAUUAGCUAGUUGGUAAGGUAACGGCUUACCAAGGCAACGAUACGUAGCCGACCUGAGAGGGUGAUCGGCCACACUGGAACUGAGACACGGUCCAGACUCCUACGGGAGGCAGCAGUAGGGAAUCUUCCGCGAUGGGCGAAAGCCUGACGGAGCAACGCCGCGUGAGUGAUGAAGGUCUUCGGAUCGUAAAACUCUGUUAUUAGGGAAGAACAAACGUGUAAGUAACUGUGCACGUCUUGACGGUACCUAAUCAGAAAGCCACGGCUAACUACGUG
RNAcentral lists this ribosomal RNA (497 nucleotides) under uncultured bacterium. RNAcentral's name for it is "partial 16S ribosomal RNA". It matches the Rfam family "Bacterial small subunit ribosomal RNA", at positions 28 to 507 of the family's 1533-position model. The record is from RNAcentral.